CCAGCGGGUGCUUGCACCUGCGAAGAUCUAGUGGCGAACGGGUGAGUAGCACGUGAGCAACCUACCCCGAAGACUGGGAUAACACCGGGAAACCGGUGCUAAUACCGGAUACCCCCAUCGGAUCGCAUGGUCUGAUGAGGAAAUGGAUUCCGCUUCGGGAGGGGCUCGCGGCCUAUCAGCUUGUUGGUGGGGUAAUGGCCUACCAAGGCUUCGACGGGUAGCUGGUCUGAGAGGACGAUCAGCCACACUGGGACUGAGACACGGCCCAGACUCCCACGGGAGGCAGCAGUGGGGAAUCUUGCGCAAUGGGCGAAAGCCUGACGCAGCAACGCCGCGUGAGGGACGAAGGUUUUCUGAAUUGUAAACCUCUUUCAGCAGGGAAGAUAAUGACGGUACCUGCAGAAGAAGCACCGGCUAACUACGUGCCAGCAGCCGCGGUGAUACGUAGGGUGCAAGCGUUGUCCGGAUUUAUUGGGCGUAAAGAGCUCGUAGGCGGUUUGAUAAGUCGGAUGUGAAAUCCCCAGGCUCAACCUGGGGCCUGCAUUCGAUACUGUCAUGACUAGAGUUUGGUAGGGGACCACGGAACUCCUGGUGUAGCGGUGGAAUGCGCAGAUAUCA
Molecule: ribosomal RNA, 618 nt
Filed under: uncultured Actinomycetes bacterium
Lineage: Bacteria; Bacillati; Actinomycetota; Actinomycetes
Description: bacterial SSU rRNA
Rfam family: Bacterial small subunit ribosomal RNA
Source: RNAcentral